UACGUAGGGACCGAGCGUUGUCCGGAAUCAUUGGGCGUAAAGAGCGUGUAGGCGGCUUUACAGGUCCGUUGUGAAAACUCGAGGCUCAACCUCGAGACGCCGGUGGAAACCGUAAGGCUAGAGUCCGGAAGAGGAGAGUGGAAUUCCUGGUAUAGCGGUGAAAUGCGCAGAUAUCAGGAGGAACACCCGUGGCGAAAGCGGCUCUCUGGGACGGUACUGACGCUGAGACGCGAAAGCGUGGGGAGCAAACAGG
This 253-nucleotide ribosomal RNA is filed under the name uncultured bacterium. RNAcentral describes it as "partial 16S ribosomal RNA". It matches the Rfam family "Bacterial small subunit ribosomal RNA", at positions 524 to 776 of the family's 1533-position model. The record is from RNAcentral.